Molecule: ribosomal RNA, 162 nt
Filed under: Nymphaea mexicana (mexican water lily)
Lineage: Eukaryota; Viridiplantae; Streptophyta; Magnoliopsida; Nymphaeales; Nymphaeaceae
Description: 5.8S ribosomal RNA
Source: RNAcentral
AGAAAAGAUCUCGCAAAGAUAUCUUGGCUCCGUCACAAAAAAAAUGUAACAAAAUGACAAUUUUGUGUUUAUUGGCAAAAUCCCGUAAAAUCCAACUAUUUUUUGAACACAUUUUGCCCCCGAAGCCCUUCCGGGGGGGGGGACUCCGCCUGGGGUCUCACG